RNAcentral lists this ribosomal RNA (497 nucleotides) under uncultured bacterium. RNAcentral describes it as "partial 16S ribosomal RNA". It matches the Rfam family "Bacterial small subunit ribosomal RNA", at positions 28 to 507 of the family's 1533-position model. The record is from RNAcentral.
GACGAACGCUGGCGGCGUGCCUAAUACAUGCAAGUAGAACGCUGAAGAGAGGAGCUUGCUCUUCUUGGAUGAGUUGCGAACGGGUGAGUAACGCGUAGGUAACCUGCCUUGUAGCGGGGGAUAACUAAUGGAAACGAUAGCUAAUACCGCAUAACAAUGGAUGACACAUGUCAUUUAUUUGAAAGGGGCAAUUGCUCCACUACAAGAUGGACCUGCGUUGUAUUAGCUAGUAGGUGAGGUAAUGGCUCACCUAGGCGACGAUACAUAGCCGACCUGAGAGGGUGAUCGGCCCCCCUGGGACUGAGACACGGCCCAGACUCCUACGGGAGGCAGCAGUAGGGAAUCUUCGGCAAUGGGGGCAACCCUGACCGAGCAACGCCGCGUGAGUGAAGAAGGUUUUCGGAUCGUAAAGCUCUGUUGUAAGUCAAGAACGGGUGUGAGAGUGGAAAGUUCACACUGUGACGGUAGCUUACCAGAAAGGGACGGCUAACUACGUG